This 85-nucleotide transfer RNA is filed under the name Pseudobdellovibrionaceae bacterium. RNAcentral's name for it is "Bdellovibrionaceae bacterium tRNA-Leu". It matches the Rfam family "tRNA". Rfam says of the family: Transfer RNA (tRNA) molecules are approximately 80 nucleotides in length. Their secondary structure includes four short double-helical elements and three loops (D, anti-codon, and T loops). RNAcentral also lists the same sequence under 1 other name. Lineage: Bacteria; Pseudomonadati; Bdellovibrionota; Bdellovibrionia; Bdellovibrionales; Pseudobdellovibrionaceae. The record is from RNAcentral.
GCCCUGCUGGUGGAAUUGGCAGACACGCUAGACUUAGGAUCUAGUGCCGAGAGGCGUGGGGGUUCAAGUCCCUCGCAGGGCACCA